AUUGAACGCUGGCGGCAUGCCUUACACAUGCAAGUCGAACGGCAGCGCGGGAGCAAUCCUGGCGGCGAGUGGCGAACGGGUGAGUAAUACAUCGGAACGUGCCCAAUCGUGGGGGAUAACGCAGCGAAAGCUGUGCUAAUACCGCAUACGAUCUACUGAUGAAAGCAGGGGAUCGCAAGACCUUGCGCGAUUGGAUCGGCCGAUGGCAGAUUAGGUAGUUGGUGAGGUAAAGGCUCACCAAGCCUUCGAUCUGUAGCUGGUCUGAGAGGACGACCAGCCACACUGGGACUGAGACACGGCCCAGACUCCUACGGGAGGCAGCAGUGGGGAAUUUUGGACAAUGGGCGAAAGCCUGAUCCAGCCAUGCCGCGUGCAGGAUGAAGGCCUUCGGGUUGUAAACUGCUUUUGUAAGGAACGAAAAGGUCUUUUCUAAUAAAGAAGGCUAAUGACGGUACCGGAAGAAUAAGCACCGGCUAACUACGUG
Molecule: ribosomal RNA, 484 nt
Filed under: uncultured bacterium
Lineage: Bacteria
Description: partial 16S ribosomal RNA
Rfam family: Bacterial small subunit ribosomal RNA
Source: RNAcentral